UUAUCAUUAACUUGUGGUCAUUAUUAGUUUACAAGUGCAUAAGCCAACUCAACUUUCAAAAUUUUAAUAUAAAUUUGCAAAAUGCAUCUCAAAUCCUUUCAACUCGUAGUUUUCCUUUUGUUUGUCCUGAUUUUUACAGUAAAUGCGAUGACAAUUUACGAAUUUGUGAACGAAGAGCCAGAUUGGGAUUCUCAUCGGAAAUCACUACCAAUUCCUAUCCACCCUGUCUUUCGAAGGCAAAUUGAUCCAAAUAAUCCUGCUGAGGGAUAUUCAUCCUACGAAUGAAUAACAGCAUUAUGCUUAUCAUUUUCAUUAAAUUAUU
This is a long non-coding RNA of Folsomia candida, 322 nucleotides long. RefSeq lists it as uncharacterized. The record is from RefSeq and is a predicted model, not a curated record. NCBI's taxonomy places the organism in Eukaryota, Metazoa, Arthropoda, Collembola, Entomobryomorpha, Isotomidae. The transcript is spliced from 3 exons.